Molecule: unclassified non-coding RNA, 225 nt
Filed under: Hevea brasiliensis (rubber tree)
Lineage: Eukaryota; Viridiplantae; Streptophyta; Magnoliopsida; Malpighiales; Euphorbiaceae
Source: RNAcentral
CUCAACACCUCCACUGCUCUCGCCUCCUUAGCUAGCCCUUUAAAUCUUAAGCUCCCAUGACUCAAUGCCAACAAUGCCGCCACGCAAUACUCCUGAGUUGCUUCCGAGUCUACCCGCUCACUUCCCUCGCUCAACAUCCCCACCAAUAUUGCCACCGCAUUUCCAUCCAGCAUUGCCGAUCUCCCUUCCUUGCCAGCAGCUAAAUUGCAUAAAAUUAGCAACAGC